GAGACACUAGUAAAACCGAUAAUUACAUUGCCUUGUCAAGGCAAAAUUGUGGGUUAGACCCCCACGUGUUUUA
Molecule: transfer RNA, 73 nt
Filed under: Benthalbella linguidens (longfin pearleye)
Lineage: Eukaryota; Metazoa; Chordata; Actinopteri; Aulopiformes; Scopelarchidae
Description: tRNA-Asp
Rfam family: tRNA
About the family: Transfer RNA (tRNA) molecules are approximately 80 nucleotides in length. Their secondary structure includes four short double-helical elements and three loops (D, anti-codon, and T loops).
Source: RNAcentral